Molecule: long non-coding RNA, 829 nt
Organism: Oncorhynchus keta (chum salmon)
Lineage: Eukaryota; Metazoa; Chordata; Actinopteri; Salmoniformes; Salmonidae
Exons: 3
Source: RefSeq, a predicted model, not a curated record
AGAGGGAAGGGACGGGUAGAAAGGAGAGGAGGAGGAGUGAAAAAAAGACAAGGCCACCAGACAGCUAGGUAUUAUAUAAACACUAAAACACACAGGCCACCACAGACAGCUAGGUAUUAUAUAAACACUAAAACACACAGGCCAUCACAGACAGCUAGGUAUUAUAUAAACACUAAAACACACAGGCCACCACAGACAGCUAGGUAUUAUAUAAACACUAAAACACAGGCCACCACAGACAGCUAGGUAUUAUAUAAACACUAAAACACAGGCCACCACAGGCAGCUAGGUAUUAUAUAAACACUAAAACACAGGCCACCACAGACAGCUAGGUAUUAUAUAAACACUAAAACACAGGCCACCACAGACAGCUAGGUAUUAUAUAAACACUAAAACACACAGGCCACCACAGACAGCUAGGUAUUAUAUAAACACUAAAACACACAGGCCACCACAGACAGCUAGGUAUUAUAUAAACACUAAAACACAGGCCACCACAGACAGCUAGGUAUUAUAUAAACACUAAAACACAGGCCACCACAGACAGCUAGGUAUUAUAUAAACACUAAAACACACAGGCCACCACAGACAGCUAGGUAUCAUAUAAACACUAAAACACAGGCCACCACAGACAGCUUGGUAUUAUAUAAACACUAAAACACAGGCCACCACAGACAGCUAGGUAUUAUAUAAACACUAAAACACACAGGCCACCACAGACAGCUAGGUAUUAUAUAAACACUAAAACACACAGGCCACCACAGACAGCUAGGUAUUAUAUAAACACUAAAACACACAGGCCACCACAGACAGCUUGGUAUUAUAUAAA